Molecule: small nucleolar RNA, 65 nt
Filed under: Vulpes vulpes (red fox)
Lineage: Eukaryota; Metazoa; Chordata; Mammalia; Carnivora; Canidae
Description: Small nucleolar RNA SNORD116 (ENSVVUG00000009280.1)
Rfam family: Small nucleolar RNA SNORD116
About the family: HBII-85 is a member of the C/D class of snoRNAs, which contain the C (UGAUGA) and D (CUGA) box motifs. HBII-85 is encoded in a tandemly repeated array with another C/D snoRNA, HBII-52, in the Prader-Willi syndrome (PWS) region of chromosome 15. Unlike most other snoRNAs, HBII-85 is expressed prevalently in the brain (but is absent in PWS patients) and lacks any significant complementarity with ribosomal RNA.
Source: RNAcentral
GCAUUCCUUGGAAAAGCUGAACAAAAUAAGUGAGAACUCCCUACUGUCAUUCUCAUCAAAACUGA